Molecule: long non-coding RNA, 4117 nt
Filed under: Hordeum vulgare
Lineage: Eukaryota; Viridiplantae; Streptophyta; Magnoliopsida; Poales; Poaceae
Description: long non-coding RNA (HVUL_LNC004478)
Source: RNAcentral
ACCAAUCUAGCUAUGUGGGCCUGGCCCAAUAACUAUUUUACUAUUGAAAAUCUUUGAUUUGUUUGGAUUGAAGCAUUUUUUUGCUAGAAGUACGCAUAUCUCAAGAUAGGCCCGUUAAAAAUAAGUACAACAGAAUAAAAGAUUGCAAAUAAAAUGUAUAUUUCAUUUCAAUAGCAUAUCACAUCAAAUAUAAUACAUCAUCCAUCGACUCCACGCAUUAAGGUUCAACACCUAACAAGUGCAGAGAAAAAGGACCCAACAAGUGCACAAUCGCACAUAAAGAGAGUUCCACAAAGAUUGGAUGAGAAGCACAAGAUUCUUCUCAUCUCUUCCUCCACACAAUAUGCUCUUGUCAUUGCCGCCUGCAAGAAGAAAAUGAUGGUAAUGCUUUCAGACCAAGCAAACUAGUAAAAUUAAAAUGAUGGUAAUGCUUUCAGACCAAGCAAACUAGUAAAAUUGCACGAAGAUAUAUUUUAUUGAAAGCUAUCCGAAGAAAGCAAUCAGGGGUAACGAAAAAGUAUAUGGAUCUGUAUUUUAUUAACUCAAAACGUGUAUAGAUUCCCUUGCUUGUUUGUGAAGAGGUGUGAUGACAAUCGAAUACUAGUUGCCUGAUUGUUUUACAAUACUAUACAUGGUUCAAGCAAUAUAUAAAAUGUACUUUUACUUCUGAGUGCCUUUUGCAAAAUUGUGGUAUAUGCUCUAUGCACUAAAAAAAAAGGUAUAAAUGUUCGCCCACGUGGAUAUACUACUACAUGGAUGAAUAUACCACAUUUUCAAUGGAUAUACUCAUAUUACGGAUGAACAUACUCUAUAUUUUAGUUUCAAAAAAAGAACAAACACUAUAUUCUAAUUAUGGAAAUACAAAUAUACUCAUACUGCAUAGCAAUAUCCUCCACUUAUAAUAAAUAAUUUCACUAGAAAAAGAAUAUAUAUCCAUAUUUCGUACGGGGAGUGCAGACGGAGACAUGUACUAGUAUGUUUCACAUUCAUGUUCAUGUCUGGAUGAUUAUAGUAGCAUAUAUUACUUCUGAUGGAAAAAUCAUGUGAAAGGUGUUUAUGUAUACUGCCAUACUUGUUCGAAAGCUGAGCAGUAACAGAUACUUCAUAGAUGGAAGGGAUAAGGGAAAGCUUAGCAUAUAUUUUUUCUAUUAGUCUAUUUUAUUGAUAAGGAGUAUAGUUUUACUUCAUUUAUGUAUUAGUAAUAGUCAUGAAGGAAAGCACACAUUACUACUAUGAAUCGAAGGUCUUUUCCACACCUAUGCACAAAACUUUUGCUUGAACAGCUACAGUACAUAUGUGAAUAGGUUGUGCCAAUAAGCUUCAUCACACCAGUAAGCUUCACCACAUAUGCAACAAGAAUUCACAAACGAAAGGAUGAUGAGUUCGAAGUCCACAUAUGCAUACAUAUUCAACGAGGAUUCAUGACAACAUGCGUACAUAUGCAACAAGAGUUCACAAACAAAAUCAUGAGUUCCAAUUUCACACCAAGCAUGAGUACUUUGCCGAUUCCUCGUAUCAUAACUUCUCAAGAACUCGAGAAAUUUCUCUUUACCAUAGCUCAAAAGCGAAUAUAUAAUGUCAAUGGCGUGGAAUGCAUUUGACUACAAUACUUUUAUGGAAUUGCAGAAAACAAGUGGAUUAAAAACCUGCUAGUUGAUGCUAUGAUAUUCCACUUCCACCUGCCAUGCCUCUUCCAUCUCUUUACCUUCUUAAUAAGCUUCUUAAAUGCCUGAAAGAAUCAGCGACUCAAAUAAUUCAGUGGAUAAUCAUUGCACAACAUAGGUUACAAUAAUACAUACAGAAUAUUGAUCCAUAUCAAGAUAAGAAAGAACACAGCUAAGACAACUCGCGUGAGAAGAGUCAGUCAUUAAGCAUACACUAUAGCAUAGGAACAAAACAAUGAGAUGACUAAAUAAUAACCAGCAGGUGCACAUUGUUGUAGAACUCACUUAGAAUAAAAUUGUAUUAUUUCCCCGUUAUAUUGCCGUUGUUCUUGUAAGUAAAUUUCUCUCAAGGUCAUUAUUACAAUCAGGUUGUUAACAUCACAAUAAACUUCAAAUCUGAGUUCGUGCCAACAGUGUAAAACUGCAAUGGCAUACCACUACUAUAAGAAACUGUGCAUCCCUCCAAAUGACAAACAAAGAUAGUGAGAUGCCAGAUCCAGCUUGAAGUGUACUGUAACCUGAAGAGAAUCAACCCUUACAGGCAUGUUUAUCGAAGGAAAAACAGAUAUGGAGAAGGCAAGAACUUACUCUGUAGCUCCUGGGAAAUUCAGAGGUCCAUCUAAGAUCUGCAUGUUGCAAAGACACUCUUUUAACAGCAUCAAGGAGACGGUGUUCCUCAAGUGUGUCCUGUCUAUCAAGAACUUGCUCCUGUUGUACAUUUGCAUAGACAGAGAAAAUUAAAUAAGUAAAUCUAUAUCCUAUUAGAAGGAAAAGAGAGAAGAACAAUUACUCGAUUACAAGGUAGGAAAAUAUGAAGCUCCUGUAGAAACAGUCCCCAUCUCCAGUCACCGGUCUAAAUUCAGAAUACACAUCAAGAUGGUCCACUCCUUAUCCCGUAGCCAAAUCGGGAACCAAAUAAUAUUUUCUGACUUUAGUGAUGGGGCGUGUUUGCAAUGAAUAGUGUAAAUACGGGAAUCAAAAUUACAGAGACUAGAAUAUGGUGAAAAAAUAUUUAGUAAUGAGCCAGUUGCAGGUCCCAGAAUCAAAAUCAGCUUCAGUAAUGAGCCAGUUGCAGGUCCACCAAAUCCUGGAGUAAGUAGUCAGUGAUUUUUGCAUGUAAGUGGCAAAUGAUUCACAGAAAUUAUGUCCAGUUAUGCAGCCUUAGAAAUAUGUCUGCACUGACGUAUUAGCUAGUAGAAAUAUCUGAGUUCCUAGGUCGGAUUGUACUGCUAUUUAAAGGGUCGAUGCCCUCGUUGUAACAUCAGGCCAUUCUCAUUCAAACUAUCUAGCCUCAAGUAGUACUACUGCAUACAUGUACGUAUGUGUGUGAGCAGCACUAGUGAGUGUGCUUUGCUAGUGUGCUGAUCGCAAGUACUACUAGCACUUAGCUCUCCCACUCGUCAUAUAAAACAGUAUACUCACAUAAUGGGGCAUGUGUACAUAAAAAAUAGAAGCAAUUGCUUAUAAAAAAUAAAAGAAUCAUCUGAACGAGAUACGAGGUUUUCUUCUCCGAUAGGUCCCUUUUCAACUAAAAUAGCCCGUGCUUUAUCAUCUAAACAUUCCCAAUUUGCUGGAUCAUAAAUAUUUCAAGCACAAGGCUGUUGUGCUGUCACAGAAUCGCUCAUGUUAUUAUCAUUCACAGCAUCGGUACCCUUGCCUAAAUUGUCAGGUUCACUCGCAGCAUUAUUACCCUCGCCUAAAUUUUCUUGACCACUAACGUUAUUAUCGUUCUCAUCUAAAGUUUCAUCUGGUUGUUUUUCAACAAUUGUUAUAGCUAGUUCACAAGAAGUACUAGCAGAACUUGCACUUGGCUUCGAAAUUUGUGAACAUAUCCCUUUUGCGGUUCCAAUUUUUCAUUUGCUAGCUUUCUCUUUAGUCACUUUUCAUGCCGAGACAAUUGUUUUUUAGAUGACAUCUGAGCACAAAAAAAUUAAGUAUAGCACAAGAACAGUUCAUAAACUAAGGGAUAAAACUGAAACAAAAGAAUAUGAAUGAUUAUGGCCAGGCCGGUUGCUUGUUGUCCCCAACAGAUUGAGAUGAAUCAGAAACCACCACAACCAGGCACCAACGCUACAAUCAGGGGUGGUAGCCAAAAAACUCUAGUGUGCUGGAUGGAAGCCUUCUUUGGCUCCCUUUUCUCUAUCAAGCUGGGGACUGGGGAUCGGGGGAGCAAGAGGACCAGGGAGAUUCAGAUCGAGCAGAAUCGGAUGGGGGAAACAACUAAUCCUAGAAUAUAUAUGCAUACCUGAGUCGGGGCCCUUAACGAUUGGGGGCCCUGUGCAGCUGCACCGCCUCCACAUGCUUAGGGUCAGCGCUGCAAGGAGGGCGGAGGUGCCGAGGGUGACACGCGAGGAGGCUGGCGGCGCCGGGGCGAGGAGGUGCGGGGGCGUGGGGGCUGUGCUAUGGUCUACGGGGGUGCGGCGGCGAGGCGGGGGUCGCCGGGGCGUGNNNNN